UGGGGAAUAUUGCGCAAUGGGCGAAAGCCUGACGCAGCGACGCCGCGUGGGUGAUGAAGGCCUUCGGGUCGUAAAGCCCUGUCUGGAGGGAAGAAUCCUCGGCGACCUAAUACGUCGUCGACCUGACGGUACCUCCGAAGGAAGCACCGGCUAACUCCGUGCCAGCAGCCGCGGUAAUACGGAGGGUGCGAGCGUUGUUCGGAAUCACUGGGCGUAAAGCGCGUGUAGGCGGCCUUCUAAGUCUGGUGUGAAAGCCCGGGGCUCACCCCCGGAAGUGCACUGGAAACUGGGAGGCUUGAGUACCGGAGAGGAGGGUGGAAUUCCUGGUGUAGCGGUGAAAUGCGUAGAUAUCAGGAGGAACACCGGUGGCGAAGGCGGCCCUCUGGACGGAUACUGACGCUGAGACGCGAAAGCGUGGGGAGCAAACAGG
This 430-nucleotide ribosomal RNA is filed under the name uncultured Syntrophobacteraceae bacterium. Its description in RNAcentral is "bacterial SSU rRNA". It matches the Rfam family "Bacterial small subunit ribosomal RNA", at positions 355 to 776 of the family's 1533-position model. Lineage: Bacteria; Pseudomonadati; Thermodesulfobacteriota; Syntrophobacteria; Syntrophobacterales; Syntrophobacteraceae. The record is from RNAcentral.